GAUGAACGCUGGCGGCGUGCCUAAUACAUGCAAGUCGAGCGAACGGACGAGAAGCUUGCUUCUCUGAUGUUAGCGGCGGACGGGUGAGUAACACGUGGAUAACCUACCUAUAAGACUGGGAUAACUACGGGAAGCCGUAGCUAAUACCGGAUAAUAUUUUGAACCGCAUGGUUCAAAAGUGAAAGACGCUCUUGCUGUCUCUUAUAGAUGGUUCCGCGCUGCAUUAGCUAGUUGGUAAGGUAACGGCUUACCAAGGCAACGAUGCAUAGCCGACCUGAGAGGGUGAUCAGCCACACUGGAACUGAGACACGGUCCAGACUCCUACGGGAGGCAGCAGUGGGGAAUCUUCGGCAAUGGGCGAAAGCCUGACGGAGCAACGCCGCGUGAGUGAUGAAGGUCUUCGGAUCGUAAAGCUCUUUUAUUAGGGAAGAACAGAUGUGUGAGUAACUGUGCACGUCUUGACGGUACCUAAACAGAAAGCCACGGCUAACUUCGUG
RNAcentral lists this ribosomal RNA (497 nucleotides) under uncultured bacterium. Its description in RNAcentral is "partial 16S ribosomal RNA". It matches the Rfam family "Bacterial small subunit ribosomal RNA", at positions 28 to 507 of the family's 1533-position model. The record is from RNAcentral.